RNAcentral lists this ribosomal RNA (1485 nucleotides) under uncultured Bordetella sp. Its description in RNAcentral is "partial 16S-23S ribosomal RNA intergenic spacer". It matches the Rfam family "Bacterial small subunit ribosomal RNA". Lineage: Bacteria; Pseudomonadati; Pseudomonadota; Betaproteobacteria; Burkholderiales; Alcaligenaceae. The record is from RNAcentral.
AGUUCGAUCCUGGCUCAGAUUGAACGCUGGCGGGAUGCUUUACACAUGCAAGUCGAACGGCACGGACUUCGGUCUGGUGGCGAGUGGCGAACGGGUGAGUAAUGUAUCGGAACGUGCCUAGUAGGGGGAUAACUACGCGAAAGCGUAGCUAAUACCGCAUAUUGCCCUUCGGGGGAAAGCGGGGGACCUUUCGGGCCUCGCACUAUUAGAGCGGCCGAUAUCGGAUUAGCUAGUUGGUGGGGUAACGGCUCACCAAGGCGACGAUCCGUAGCUGGUUUGAGAGGACGACCAGCCACACUGGGACUGAGACACGGCCCAGACUCCUACGGAGGCAGCAGUGGGGAAUUUUGACAAUGGGGAAACCUGAUCCAGCCAUCCCGCGUGUGCGAUGAAGGCCUUCGGGUUGUAAAGCACUUUUGGCAGGAAAGAAACGGCACGGGAUAAUACCCCGUGCAACUGACGGUACCUGCAGAAUAAGCACCGGCUAACUACGUGCCAGCAGCCGCGGUAAUACGUAGGGUGCAAGCGUUAAUCGGAAUUACAAGCCAGCGAAGCGUGCGCAGGCGGUUCGGAAAAGAAAGAUGUGAAAUCCCAGAGCUUAACUUUGGAACUGCAUUUUUAACUACCGAGCUAGAGUGUGUCAGAGGGAGGUGGAAUUCCGCGUGUAGCAGUGAAAUGCGUAGAUAUGCGGAGGAACACCGAUGGCGAAGGCAGCAGCCUCCUGGGAUAACACUGACGCUCAUGCACGAAAGCGUGGGAGCAAACAGGAUUAGAUACUCCUGGUAGUCCACGCCCUAAACGAUGUCAACUUAGCUGUUGGGGCCUCGGGCCUGGUAGCGCAGCUAACGCGUGAAGUUGACCGCCUGGGGAGUACGGUCGCAAGAUUAAAACCUCAAAGGAAUUGAUGGGACCCCGCACAAGCGGUGGAUGAUGUGGAUUAAUCUGAUGCAACGCGAAAAACCUUACCUACCCUUGACAUGUCUGGAUUUCCGAAGAGAUUUGGGAGUGCUCGCAAGAGAACCGGAACACAGGUGCUGCAUGGCUGUCGUCAGCUCGUGUCGUGAGAUGUUGGGUUAAGUCCCGCAACGAGCGCAACCUUGUCAUUAGUUGCUACGAAAGGGCACUCUAAUGAGACUGCCGGUGACAAACCGGAGGAAGGUGGGGAUGACGUCAAGUCCUCAUGGCCCUUAUGGGUAGGGCUUCACACGUCAUACAAUGGUCGGGACAGAGGGUCGCCAACCCGCGAGGGGGAGCCAAUCCCAGAAACCCGAUCGUGGUCCGGAUCGCAGUCUGCAACUCGACUGCGUGAAGUCGGAAUCGCUAGUAAUCGCGGAUCAGCAUGUCGCGGUGAAUACGUUCCCGGUCUUGUACACACCGCCCGUCACACCAUGGGGAGUGGGUUUUACCAGAAGUAGUUAGCCUAACCGUAAGGAGGGCGAUUACCACGGUAGGAUUCAUGACUGGGGUGAAGUCGUAACAAGGUAA